AAAAAUAAAGCCUUAAAAUAAAGCUUGUCCCAAUUUUAAUAAACAGGACGUUUCAAAGGUUUCUUUAAAAUCUUAUAAAUCUUAAAGAUUAUGAACUUUAAAAAGGCUCUAUGAAGAAAGCAGCUUAAGCUUUUCCAAUACUUUAAGAUGAUACCGGGGAAGGUUUUCCGGUUUGUUCCGGAGGGCUUGUAGCUCAGUUGGUUAGAGCGCGCGCUUGAUAAGCGUGAGGUCGGAGGUUCAAGUCCUCCCAGGCCCACCAAUUUAUGCUCAUUUUUUGCUAUCUUUAAGUUUUACUUAUCUUAAGAGCGUGAAGCUUAAGCGUGUUAAAGCCUCUUUCAAAUCUUUGUUCCCUCUUUAAAUCUUUAUUCCCCUCUUUAAAUCUUUAUUCCCCUCUUUAAAUCUUUAUUCCCCUCUUUAAAUCUUUAUUCCCCUCUUUAAAUCUUUAUUCAUUGUUAAAGAUUUUAUUAUCCAAAGGUUGUUUAUUCAAUCUAUUCCAUUAAGUUUGUCAGAGAGGAUUUAAAAAUCCCUUCAUCGAGAUUCCUCCAAUGGAAAAUCCUCCAGUGGGAAAAAUGGAAAAGUAGAGAACUGGAAAAGACAAAAUCAAAAUGGUGCCGCUAAAAAUAGCGCAGGAAAUUCGAAUUGAUAAACGAGGCCCAAUUGAUACAAUGAGUCAGAUUGUGCAAUCAGUUGAAUUGUAAAAUUA
This 703-nucleotide transfer RNA is filed under the name uncultured Bartonella sp. Its description in RNAcentral is "partial 16S-23S ribosomal RNA intergenic spacer". The stretch from base 183 to 256 matches the Rfam family "tRNA". Lineage: Bacteria; Pseudomonadati; Pseudomonadota; Alphaproteobacteria; Hyphomicrobiales; Bartonellaceae. The record is from RNAcentral.